This 484-nucleotide ribosomal RNA is filed under the name uncultured bacterium. Its description in RNAcentral is "partial 16S ribosomal RNA". It matches the Rfam family "Bacterial small subunit ribosomal RNA", at positions 30 to 507 of the family's 1533-position model. The record is from RNAcentral.
AUUGAACGCUGGCGGCAGGCCUAACACAUGCAAGUCGAGCGGAUGAAGGGAGCUUGCUCUUGGAUUCAGCGGCGGACGGGUGAGUAAUGCCUAGGAAUCUGCCUGGUAGUGGGGGAUAACGUCCGGAAACGGGCGCUAAUACCGCAUACGUCCUGAGGGAGAAAGUGGGGGAUCUUCGGACCUCACGCUAUCAGAUGAGCCUAGGUCGGAUUAGCUAGUUGGUGGGGUAAAGGCCUACCAAGGCGACGAUCCGUAACUGGUCUGAGAGGAUGAUCAGUCACACUGGAACUGAGACACGGUCCGGACUCCUACGGGAGGCAGCAGUGGGGAAUAUUGGACAAUGGGCGAAAGCCUGAUCCAGCCAUGCCGCGUGUGUGAAGAAGGUCUUCGGAUUGUAAAGCACUUUAAGUUGGGAGGAAGGGCAGUAAGUUAAUACCUUGCUGUUUUGACGUUACCAACAGAAUAAGCACCGGCUAACUUCGUG